RNAcentral lists this long non-coding RNA (143 nucleotides) under Lynx pardinus (Iberian lynx). Lineage: Eukaryota; Metazoa; Chordata; Mammalia; Carnivora; Felidae. The record is from RNAcentral.
AUGUGUUUUCCUUUCAGGGGCGGUUGACAUUCAGGGAUGUGGCCAUAGAAUUCUCUCAGGAGGAGUGGGAGUGCCUGGACCCUGCUCAGAGGGCCUUGUACAGGGAGGUGAUGUUGGAGAACUACAGGAACCUGGUCUCCCUG